This 457-nucleotide ribosomal RNA is filed under the name uncultured bacterium. Its description in RNAcentral is "bacterial SSU rRNA". It matches the Rfam family "Bacterial small subunit ribosomal RNA", at positions 29 to 506 of the family's 1533-position model. The record is from RNAcentral.
AUAAACGCUGGCGGCGUGCUUCAGGCAUGCAAGUCGAACGGAUCAUGGCCUUCGGGUCAUGGUUAGUGGCGGACGGGUGAGUAACACGUAAGCAACCUGCCCGGAAGUGGGGAAUAACUGACCGAAAGGUUGGCUAAUACCGCAUGUGAUGGGCCUUCCCUGGAGGGUCCAUUAAAGGCGAAAGUCGCUUCUGGAGGGGCUUGCGGUCGAUUAGCUUGUUGGUGGGGUAAUGGCCUACCAAGGCUGCGAUCGAUAGCUGGUCUGAGAGGACGGUCAGCCACACGGGGACUGAGAUACGGCCCCGACUCCUACGGGAGGCAGCAGCUAGGAAUCUUGGGAAUGGGCGAAAGCCUGACCCAGCAACGCCGCGUGGGCGAUGAAGGCCUUCGGGUCGUAAAGCCCUUUUGCAGGGGAAGAUGAUGACGGUACCCUGCGAAUAAGCCACGGCUAACUACGU